Molecule: ribosomal RNA, 411 nt
Filed under: uncultured bacterium
Lineage: Bacteria
Description: bacterial SSU rRNA
Rfam family: Bacterial small subunit ribosomal RNA
Source: RNAcentral
AGCGAACGUUAGCGGCGGGCCUAACACAUGCAAGUCGAGCGAGAAAGGGGCUUCGGCCCCGAGUAAAGCGGCGGACGGGUGAGUAACACGUAGGUAAUCUUCCUUCGAGCGGGGGACAACGGUCCGAAAGGACCGCUAAUACCGCAUACGUUUCUCGGGACCUCGGUCCUGGGAAGGAAAGCUAGGUAGCAAUAUCCGGCACUCGAUGAGGAGCCUGCGUCGCAUCAGCUAGUUGGUGGGGUAAUGGCCCACCAAGGCGAAGACGCGUAGCUGGUCUGAGAGGAUGAUCAGCCACACUGGGACUGAGACACGGCCCAGACUCCUACGGGAGGCAGCAGUGGGGAAUAUUGGACAAUGGGCGCAAGCCUGAUCCAGCCACGCCGCGUGAGUGAUGAAGGCCUCGGUCGUAAG